RNAcentral lists this transfer RNA (67 nucleotides) under Myrmecophilus manni (Mann's ant cricket). Its description in RNAcentral is "tRNA-Val". Lineage: Eukaryota; Metazoa; Arthropoda; Insecta; Orthoptera; Myrmecophilidae. The record is from RNAcentral.
CGGAAUGUAACUUAUUUUAAAGUAUUUCAUUUACACUGAAGCGAAGAUUGUUAAUAGUCUGUUCUGA